RNAcentral lists this long non-coding RNA (594 nucleotides) under Zea mays. RNAcentral describes it as "long non-coding RNA (ZMAY_LNC002655)". The record is from RNAcentral. Lineage: Eukaryota; Viridiplantae; Streptophyta; Magnoliopsida; Poales; Poaceae.
AUGUGAUGAUCUGCGUAUGAUGAUGAAUAAACUGGCAAGACCAUCGAUCAAAGGGAAAAACGAAUUAAUUCAUACUAGCGAGUAGCGCAACACUUCGAAGUUUUUCUUUCUUUUGCGCAGCACACAGAUUAGGAAUAAAUUACUUGAUCGAGCAUGAAACAUAUCACAUUUCGGCACGAAAUCUUAACACCAUCGUGACCGUCGCAGGAGGAGCCGAGGCCCUCGAUCAACACGCCGUCGUCGUGCCAGACAGCUCGGCCGUCGAUCGAUCCGCAUGCAGACAAGCACGUGCGCGCCCGUCGUCGUACCACGCGCAGCGUCGUCACAUCUUGGGUAUGGUGGCGGCGACGGCGGGGCCGCUGUUGUAGGCGUCGCAGCGCCGCCUGACCUCGCCGUCGGCGCCGGUCUUGACGCCGAACAAGCUGAGCUUCUCCAUGGCGCGGCCGAAGUCGUCGAAGAAGGCUGUGGCGUUGGAUGCAUAGAGCUGCACCAGGGGCUUGGUGCGUGGGUCCGUCCACAGCUCCUCGUCGGUGCUGAGCAGGCCGAGGCCGCGCUCGAGGUUGACGAAGUACAUGUUGUCGAACUUGCCGGGCG